UUCUUUGGUUCGAUAACACUUAUACCCUUGCCGGAGACGAACCUGCAACACGGAGGAGCUCGACUGCAAGUCCGAAGAUUUUAUCCGAGAACCGAAGUCGCCGGAGACAUUUGAACUUCCCGACGGGAAUCAUCUCACCCGUUUCAAAAGUAACGCCGCCCGGGUCACGUGGAAACUCAUUGGAGCCGACGGAGAUCAUGACGGGGACUGGUUCGGCAUCGUUAAUCGCUCUUGUUCGUUCUCUUGGAUUUUCUCCAUCUUUACUCGUGCGACAUUACAAGAAAUCGCAUCGCAACCAAUGUGAGUAUACAUGACCCAUUUUCCAUUUUAACACUUUUGGGUGCAAUAUGUAUUUUAUAUCAAUCACAUUAUUCACUUCAAACAGCUUUAUGCACACUCUAUCCAAAUUGCACGUGAUACAUUUGGUUCAUGUUAUACAUGUUAUGCUAUUGUAAACUCUCAUGAUUAUGUAUUCAUUAACUUUGCAAGCCUCCCCUAACAAUGGUAGCGCUAUAGGUUGAGAAACGCCCCUCCCGUUAUUCUCACGGGUAUUGUUAGGUUAAUCUAUAUUAAAACCUCCCGUUAUACUUUUGGGAUUGGCACUUUAAUUGCGUUAAACUUUGGUUUGGACACAUAGAGUAACAUCAUUUCGAGUAUAUACUGUUAAUGUGUAAUCAUGUUAUUCACGUUGGAUAUGACCAACUUCAAACUUUUUAUUAUACUAUGUAUCAAACUUGUAUACUCGCCAACAUACCUUGUUGAUUUUAUUUUAGUACAUAUUGCAGAUUGAUUUGUUCAAGAUUCAAGAAACAAGCUAGGAUGGCUUUAGAUACCCAUUUUAGCAAUUGACCAUGUUUGAAUUUAUGUUUACUAUUUGAGACAUUGUAUUACUUUCUUAGUUUUAAUAAAACGAAUUAAUUCAUAUUGUCACCUUUAGUGU
RNAcentral lists this long non-coding RNA (940 nucleotides) under Helianthus annuus (common sunflower). Its description in RNAcentral is "hypothetical non coding rna". The record is from RNAcentral. Lineage: Eukaryota; Viridiplantae; Streptophyta; Magnoliopsida; Asterales; Asteraceae.